UCACCUGGAGAUCAUGUUAAAAUGCAAAUUCUGAUUCUACAGAUGUGAGACUCUGCAUUUCUAACAAGCUCCCCAGUGAUCCCA
Molecule: microRNA precursor, 84 nt
Filed under: Vicugna pacos (alpaca)
Lineage: Eukaryota; Metazoa; Chordata; Mammalia; Artiodactyla; Camelidae
Description: miRNA (ENSVPAG00000017835.1)
Source: RNAcentral